Molecule: ribosomal RNA, 254 nt
Filed under: uncultured bacterium
Lineage: Bacteria
Description: partial 16S ribosomal RNA
Rfam family: Bacterial small subunit ribosomal RNA
Source: RNAcentral
UACGGAGGGGGCUAGCGUUGUUCGGAAUUACUGGGCGUAAAGCGCACGUAGGCGGACUGUUAAGUCGGGGGUGAAAUCCUGGGGCUCAACCUCAGAAUUGCCUCCGAUACUGGCAGUCUCGAGUGCGGGAGAGGUGAGUGGAAUUCCCAGUGUAGAGGUGAAAUUCGUAGAUAUUGGGAAGAACACCAGUGGCGAAGGCGGCUCACUGGCCCGUAACUGACGCUGAGGUGCGAAAGCGUGGGGAGCAAACAGGG